GAGCAUCCUCACACCGGGGCUCCUGCCACGGAGCCGCCAGCAAAGCUGCUUGGAAAUUUUGGCAGGGGACUCCCCUGCUAAAAAAAACCAAGGCAGGGUUUUGGUGCAGCCUGCUUCAAGAUCUAGAUCUUAUCCUAAACAAGAAAGUCAUUCUAAACCCUGGAGAAUGCAUUGAGAAUUAAUAUUGAUUAUUAGGAAUAAUAUUCAUACUCGGAAUGGCACUGCAGUGUCUAGGGAAAGGAUUCCUCCAGGACCAGUGUUGGAGGCAGCAGCUGUGCCACUGGAACACCUUUCACAGGAGCACUCUCCAAACUUCAAACACCUGACCCUGCAGCACAGAGGAUCCCAGGAGGGCUGUGAGGGUCCCCAGGAGCCAGCAG
Long non-coding RNA from Passer domesticus (house sparrow), 380 nucleotides. RefSeq lists it as uncharacterized. The transcript has 3 exons. The record is from RefSeq and is a predicted model, not a curated record. NCBI's taxonomy places the organism in Eukaryota, Metazoa, Chordata, Aves, Passeriformes, Passeridae.